GUGGGGAAUAUUGGACAAUGGGCGAAAGCCUGAUCCAGCCAUGCCGCGUGUGUGAAGAAGGUCUUCGGAUUGUAUAGCACUUUAAGUUGGGAGGAAGGGCAGUAAGUUAAUACCUUGCUGUUUUGACGUUACCAACAGAAUAAGCACCGGCUAACUUCGUGCCAGCAGCCGCGGUAAUACGAAGGGUGCAAGCGUUAAUCGGAAUUACUGGGCGUAAAGCGCGCGUAGGUGGUGCAGCAAGUUGAAGGUGAAAUCCCCGGGCUCAACCUGGGAACUGCCUCCAAAACUACUGAGCUAGAGUACGGUAGAGGGUAGUGGAAUUUCCUGUGUAGCGGUGAAAUGCGUAGAUAUAGGAAGGAACACCAGUGGCGAAGGCGACUACCUGGACUGAUACUGACACUGAGGUGCGAAAGCGUGGGGAGCAAACAGGAUUAGAAACCCGAGUAGUCC
This 450-nucleotide ribosomal RNA is filed under the name uncultured bacterium. RNAcentral's name for it is "partial 16S ribosomal RNA". It matches the Rfam family "Bacterial small subunit ribosomal RNA", at positions 354 to 796 of the family's 1533-position model. The record is from RNAcentral.